RNAcentral lists this ribosomal RNA (504 nucleotides) under uncultured bacterium. RNAcentral describes it as "partial 16S ribosomal RNA". It matches the Rfam family "Bacterial small subunit ribosomal RNA", at positions 30 to 523 of the family's 1533-position model. The record is from RNAcentral.
AUUGAACGCUGGCGGCAGGCCUAACACAUGCAAGUCGAACGGUAGCACAGAGAGCUUGCUCUCGGGUGACGAGUGGCGGACGGGUGAGUAAUGUCUGGGAAACUGCCCGAUGGAGGGGGAUAACUACUGGAAACGGUAGCUAAUACCGCAUAACGUCGCAAGACCAAAGUGGGGGACCUUCGGGCCUCACACCAUCGGAUGUGCCCAGCUGGGAUUAGCUAGUAGGUGGGGUAAUGGCUCACCUAGGCGACGAUCCCUAGCUGGUCUGAGAGGAUGACCAGCCAACCUGGAACUGAGACACGUGCCAGACUCCUACGGGAGGCAGCAGUGGGGAAUAUUGCACAAUGGGCGCAAGCCUGAUGCAGCCAUGCCGCGUGUAUGAAGAAGGCCUUCGGGUUGUAAAGUACUUUCAGCGGGGAGGAAGGCGGUGAAGUUAAUAACUUCACCGAUUGACGUUACCCGCAGAAGAAGCACCGGCUAACUCCGUGCCAGCAGCCGCAGUAA